CCCCUCUCAGGAUCGCACCUGAGAGUUUCCAGUACUCCACCAGUCUCCGCUAUGGGAGGGAGAGUCAAGCAGAGGCAUAUCCAUUUCAUUCCUAGCUUGGCCAGUGGCUAGUUAGUGGGAGGCAAUCUGCUACAAUG
This is a non-coding RNA of Ornithorhynchus anatinus (platypus), 137 nucleotides long. The record is from Rfam. NCBI's taxonomy places the organism in Eukaryota, Metazoa, Chordata, Mammalia, Monotremata, Ornithorhynchidae.